This 253-nucleotide ribosomal RNA is filed under the name uncultured bacterium. RNAcentral describes it as "partial 16S ribosomal RNA". It matches the Rfam family "Bacterial small subunit ribosomal RNA", at positions 524 to 776 of the family's 1533-position model. The record is from RNAcentral.
UACAGAGGCCCCAAGCGUUGUUCGGAUUCACUGGGCGUAAAGGGUGCGUAGGUGGUCAGGUAAGUCUGAUGUGAAAUCUCUGAGCUUAACUCAGAAACUGCAUUGGAUACUAUCUGGCUAGAGAGUCGGAGGGGGGACUGGAAUACUUGGUGUAGCAGUGAAAUGCGUAGAUAUCAAGUGGAACACCAGUGGCGAAGGCGAGUCCCUGGACGACUUCUGACACUGAGGCACGAAAGCUAGGGGAGCAAACAGG